Molecule: long non-coding RNA, 11236 nt
Organism: Cavia porcellus (domestic guinea pig)
Lineage: Eukaryota; Metazoa; Chordata; Mammalia; Rodentia; Caviidae
Exons: 4
Source: RefSeq, a predicted model, not a curated record
CAGGGCACCACUGGAGACCCUGCCCUGGCCCACAGCCCACACAGCAGAGAGAGAGAGCGCCAGGGGCCACAGCCACCGCAUGGCCGGACACACAGGAAGCAGCUGCCCAAGGAGAGCAGGCCACGGGCUGGCCAGGCCCUCUGCUGGUCACAAAGAAGUCUUUGCUGUCCUCCAAGUCCUCCCUUGCAGGCCCAGGACCAUGGCAAGUUGGACUGGGGCGCCUUCAGAGGGCACCUGCUCAGGCCAGCAUGGGAUCACAGCUGCCCAUCGAUGCAGCGGGGCGAUGAGAACUAGGUGUAGCUCUCCUGUCUGAUUCUACCUGAUUUUAAGGCAGCUCCAAUCUGUGAAACUGACCAAAACAAUCACCAAAUUCCUUGAACAUUUAGCAGGUCCUAGCACUCAGCUGGUUUCUCGCUGACUCCUCGUGAUGUUCUAUGGCAUAAAUGCUAUUGGAAUCCACUUUUCAGACUUGAAAUAUGAGGUUUGUAGAGGCCGUCACUAGCACCACAAAAAUAAAAACAAAAAAGUCCACUAUACUCUGAGCCAGACACAAGAUGGAUAAUAUGUAUUUACUGAAUAUCUGCUGUGCUUUAUUUCUGCUGUUGUUGUUUUUGUUGUUUGAGACAGUAUCUCAGUAUAUAGUUCAGGCUGGCCUCAAACUCAUGGGGAUCCCUCUGCUUCAGCCUGCUAAGUGCUGGGAUCACAGGCAUGAGCCACCAUGUCCCUUGCUGUGCUUUAGACACAGGGUACAGAAAUGCAAAUGAUGCCAGUCAUGAUGGAAUACACUUAGAGUCCCAGGUUGAGACAGGAGGAGAAAGGUAAAUUUGACCCCAACCUGCGCAACUUAGCAGGACCCCACCUCCAUCUCAACAUUAAGAACAACAAAACAAGUAAAGGACCAAGGAUGUGGCUCAGUGCAAAGGCCCUGGCCUCACUCCUAGAACAACAACAAAACAAGAAACUUCUGCUGCUAAGGAGUUUUUGGUCCAGCGGGGAAAAUAACUAACUAUGCAAAUAAAUAAUUACAACUUGAUGCUGUGACAGGCAAGUGUCACAAUGCCAAGGAAGCUGGCGCAGCGGGGCGGGUGUGGGGGGAGUCCUGGGAGACCUCCAGAGCAGGGGACAUCUGAAUGGAGCCUGACACCUGCUAUGGUUGCCUAACAGACUCUGGGGAGAGGGAUGAUGUCCCAGGCAGAAGAUGCCACAGACUCAAGGUUCGGCAACACCAAUGUGGGGUGGGUGAUAUUCCUGAAAGCAGCAUGUGUCAUUUGGAGGAGAUUGGGGGGCAGGAGGAUUCAUGGAGAGGGCUUCUAUGUUCAUAUCAAGAGGUCUGUUCUGGAGGGGUAGGGAGGGACUUUGUAUGCCACACCUGGGCGCUGAGCCAUUACCUAAGGCAACAGAGAGGUUUCACAGGCUACUACACAGAGACGUCGCCUUUGCUUUGCAGAGGACCCAAUAGACAGCUGGGCCUCUGGAAGCAGGAGCAGGUGGAUGCGAAGGCAGGCAAAACCACAGGUUCCAGGAGAAACUGCAGUAUGGAAAGGCAGCAGAGAGGCCGGGGCAAGUCCCCCACUGCACAGCACAGGUGAGGAGUCCCAGCGAGCGGGGAUGCUGUGCACAUGUGGAGCUCUGCAGGGCAGGAGGGAAGCAGCUGCAGCCCAGGAGAAAGCCUGCAGCAGAUGGGCAACGUCAGCAGCACACUUGCAGCGCAGGCAGUGGGGACAGGGACAGGGCAGAGGAGACACAGGGGCCCCACAUCGCUCAGAGGAAAAUGGAAUAAAAGGAGUUCGGGAAGGGAGGCUAUGCUCCUGCUCCUUGCCCACCAGGGACACCUAUUUGUUUGACCAGGGCUGGAUGUCACUUACACAAUCAGCGUAAAUGUUAAGGAAGGUCUCCCAGGGUGGGGGACCCCCAACUUGGAAGCAGCUUUACUGCAAGACUUCCUGACCAGAAAACCUGACGCCCUACCCACAGGGGCCCUGAUAUGCCACAUGCUGCCUAUGGUGGGAUACGCUGUAAUCCCAGCGCUCUGGGAGGCUGAGGCAAGAGAAUCCCAAGUUCAAGCCCAACCUAGGCAAGUUAGUAACUUAGCAAGCCUGUCACAGAAUAAAAAAAUUUAAAAAGGGCUGGGGAUAUAGCUCAGUGUGAAGUCUCUGGGCUCAGUCCCCAGUAAACCUGUAAUUGUUGUUGCUUUGGGACCAGAGACAGAAGGAUUACCAUUUGAGGUCGAGCCUGAGCAACUUCUCAAGACCCUGUCUCAGAAAACAAAAUUUAAAGAGCUGGAGUGUAUACUCAUGGCAGAGCAUGUGUUUAGCAAGCACCAGGCUGUGAGUUCAAACCUCAGUGCUAUGAACUAACAAACAAAAUCGGGUCUCCAGGGAAAAAAAAAGGUGGUGUGGCGGUGGACAGCUGUAACCUUGGUGCUCAGGAAGCUGAGGCAGGAGGAUGAUGAGUUCUAGGCCAGCUUGGACUACAUAGUGAGACCUUGCCUGGGGUGAGGCAGCUCCAGCCAGGUCACCGUGGAGUCAGCAGGUCAGGCAAGUCCCCCACCCCUUGCUGUCUCAGCUGUCCCCUUUGCAGUCACCCACCAGACGCUCACAGUGGAGGAGGGCAGCGGGAGUCUCACUGCACUCUGAGCCUUAGGAAGGCUGGGGAAAGGCUGUGUCUUGAGCAUUCAGUGCUCAGUCCGUGCUCAGAACUGAUCCCCCUGACAACCAGCCUUCAUACCUGCCCCGGAGAGACCCUGCCUCCCCUCCUGUCCACACUCUCAGGGCCCAAGACUCCUCCCAUCCGAACCCACAUCCACUGCCUCGAGAUGUGGGCAUGCAGGUGAGCAGAUCCCCACUGCCCAAGCUGUUCCCUGCAUUCCCACCAGGUGCCAGCCUGUCACAAGCACUCUGAAUAAUUUGCUCUUCAUCUGUGGUUUGUCACUUGAGGUCAGAGAGGUAGUACAGUUUGCCUGAGGGUGCAAGGUUAGUGAGUGACAGCUGGCAUCCAGAUGCAGGUUUAUCAAACUCCAAAGCUACAACUCCUUUGUGUAUUUUACAGCAUUUCCUCUCUUCUUUCUCUUUCUUUCCUUCUUUCUCUAUUUACUUAGGCAGUCUUGGGGGACUGAACUCGGGGCCUUCACACUUAGGCAUGUCCCCAGCCCAUUUUUUUUUACUUUUAUUUUGAAAUAAGGUCUCACUUAUUAGCUCAAUUACCCAGACUGGGCUCAGACUUCCAAUCCCAACUCUUUUUAGUACCAAGAUCAAACUCAGAACCUCAUAUUUGCCAAGCAGGUGCUGUGCUACUGAGCUAUAUUCUCAGCCCAAUAUCCAAUUCUACUGAAGAACUCACUGAUAUGGGAAAGGCUCUUAGACAUGUACCAAUGCUCUUAUUUCCAAAGUCAAAUACCAGGUGUUCCUAGGUCUCUCUCUACUGCGGAUACUCAGGGCUCCCGGCCACUGCCAACGUGGCACAGACCCUACUACAGGCCUGGCAUCCGGGGAAGCAACCAAAUGUGAGUCCACUGCUCUUUUUUUUAUGCUCAUGAGAAUGCGACUUCCCACGUCCUAAUGUACCCUACACGCAGUCGUGCUCAGUAAAGAGCACUCCCUGUUCGAGUCUCCGGGAGGACAUUGGGACAUAGCAGCCGCCAGGUGGGGCCAGAGGCUCAGAGGUGGACGCCAAGAGUCCCUCAGCUCCUGGCGGACACACAAGGCCCACGCCCCAAUCCUGGUCUGCAGACUUCUGUGCGGUCCAAGAAGAUCUAACAAGAGAUGACGUGGGUCCGUGACCAAGGCGAUGGCAGAGUGUGACAACCAGCUCACCGCCCUUGAGAGGCCUAGCGUGGGCCCCAUGCUCCUUACGGUGCCUGCUGCUGCUUCCGUUUUCCCUGGCAAGGGGGCAUCGUGCAUCCUCAAAGCACACAGGGCAGAAGUGGAAGCUUUCAGGGCCACGGGAAUGUCUCCACGAUCCCAAAAAUUCCCCAUUCUUCUCCCUGGGAAUUCCCCGCCAUGUUGGAGACAGAAAAGGCGCUUAGAUCCAAGGGAUGGGAGAGGCUGGGCUGUUGCUGGCCCUGGCUGGGUGAAGGACCCUGAACUACCAUGCAGAGGCCACCCAAAAAUGAGGGAAACGCUGGGUUCUCCCUGAGGAGGUGCUUGGUUCUCCAGCCAGACAUACUUGGUGCAUCCAGACUGCCUGGAUGUCAGGCCUGGCUCUGCCACUCUGUGUGUGUGUGUGUGUGUGUGUGUGUGUGUGUGUGUGUGUGUGUGUUCACACACAAAUGUAUAGCACUGGAAACAGAACCCAGGCCCUUUGCACUGAACUGUAUCCCCAACACUUUUUGUUUUAUUUAUUAUUUUUUUUAAUUUUAUUUUUUUAUGUAUUUACUUCGUUUUUUUGAGACAGGGUCUUACUAUGCAGUUCAGACUGGCCUUGAGCUCACUUUGCAGUCCAGGCUGGUCUUGAACUCACGAGCAUCUUGCCUCAGCUUCCCAAGUGCUGAGAUUACAGGCAUGCAUCACCACACCCAGCUUUUUAUUUUAUUUUUGAGACUGGAUCUCACUGUAUAGUUCAGGCUGGUCUCAAACUCAAUAUGUAGCUCAAACUGGCCUGGAAUUUAUGGUGAUUGUCUUGCCCCAGCCUACCUAGUGCUGGAAUUAUAGGUGUGCACCACCACGCUCAGCUCACUCUUUAUUUUCAGACUGGGUCUCACAAGUUCAUAAAUUGCCCAGGUUGGGCUCCAAGUUGGGAUCCUCUGGCCUCAGCCCCUCAGAACGCUGAGAUUACAGGUGUGUGCCACUACCCCUGACUUGGGCGCUGCUACUUGGUCACCUGUGAGCUCAUCUGUGUCCAUUCCUAGAAAAGCGUCUGGCAGACGGAAAGCAGGGUAUGAGUGUUGCCUGAUGCUGCCUCCUGCUGGAACUCACUCACUAUUUCUCACAUAGCCUGAUGGGGUAGAGCAGUGUCUGUUAUCUUCGUUUCACAGAUUUGGAAAUUGGUGCUCAGAGAGAGGAGAGGCAGCCAAAGACAAGGAAAGGCUGUUCUGGGUCAAGUUCCCCUCUCCAGGAAGGGACACUAGGUAGCCCGAAGCAGGAACUGAGUAGAAUUGGGAGAAGCAUAGAUACCAUGAACCCCCAAAUGCUGCAGCAGUUCCCCUCCAGGCACUGGGUUUCUGGGCCCAAGAGACACUGGGGUCCUGCUCCAGAGGACAGGCCAGGGCCCACUGGCGGGAAAGUGCCCCUUAAAAGUCAGAGACCUGGGGACCGGUGAUAUGACUCAGCGGCACAGCGCCUGCCUGGCAAGUAUGAGGUCAUGAGUUCAAUUCCUGGACAGGAACCUGGGACCUGGUCCCAGCCUGGCAGCUGAGGGGUCCUGUGACGUCAGUGAUCAGUUUAUGAAGAUUCACUGAGCAUCUACUGUGUGCUGGGCACUGUCUUAGAACAAAGUGACUUCCAUCCUCAUGCAAUGACACUGCAAUGAAGGAAGCAACCACUGUGAGCCAGAGUGGUGGUUGGGAUCUUGUAGUGCCGGCACACAAGACGCUGAGGCAGGAGGAUCACCAUGAGUUCAAGGGCAGUUUGCAUAGCACAGCAAAACACUAUUUCAAACAAACAAACAUCAAAAGAUCUAAAGGAAAAAUAAAAGAUGGAAAACUCUCUGUCCUUACUCCUGAGUUAAAGACAGAUAGCUGGAUAGAUAGAUGAUUUAAAUAGAUAGGGCCUCUAAUAAUAGAAAUCUGUUUGCAAUGUAUGUUCUUAUCUUUGAUCUGUUAAAUUAGAAGCUAGGGUGGAACCAGCAACUAGUGUCUGUUACUGUUGUAAUUGUUUUCAAUAUAGAGAUUGAAGCCAGGGCCUUCCCCAGCCCUUUUUUUUUUUUAUUUUAUUUUUAGGCAACAUCUUGCCAAGUUAUUAAGUUGCCCAGGCUAUUCUCAAUCUUGGAAUCCUUCUGCCUCAGCCUCCCAGAAUGUUGGGAUUAUAGCGUGCAGUACUGUGCCCAGCGCAAUUACAGUUUUUUUGUUUUUUAAGCAGGUCCUCCAAGGGACCCUGAUGCAGCCUGGAGGAAAACUGUCAUAUAAAGUAUUCCAACUGCAUUCAAAUGUAAAGGUCCCCCUGCUAAAUGCAUGGCAGGGGGCUGCAGGAGGAUGAGGGCAUCCUGGGAUCAGACUCCCUGGAACAGGCAGGUUCCACGUCUUCAAGCUGCGUUCUCAGUGCCUGGAAUUCAGUGGCACUUAAAGCAUGAGUCUAAUAAAAGAACACAUAAAUGGUUCUGUAAUCAGGGUUAAAGGAGAACAAGACAAUACAGGACACAUCAUUUAUGUAUUAUUUUAUGAUAGUCAUCCAGAAUCAAACACAAGAAGUGCAGGAAAUCUGUCUGCACACCAAAAACCUAGAAAAUCCAGCCAAGGGCCUGAAAACCAUGGCAAUAACUUGCAUGAAUUCAGCUGAAAACCUAGAGCCUAUGACAAUGCCUCCCAUGAGUCCAACUGGAGGACUAGGGCUAUUUCACGAAUCUGCACCGGGAAGGCCCAACUGUCAGUGGUGGAAGCCAGAGUCUAUGCCAGGGUGAAGAAUCUGUGCCCCUAGGUUGAGGAUUCUGUACUGGAGGCAAGAAGCAAUGCUCAAAAUAAAGACCAGGGCUCUCCUGAAAAGUACCAUGGCCAUCCUCAAUGGCAAUGAGGUCCCAAGCUCCUCCAAUGAUGAAAGCAGCCAAGUUGAUAUCAGGAAGCCAGUGUAACAAAUCUCCUAGAGAUAAAAUAGCACCCAUCUUCCCCUCCAGAGCCAGGAAGCAAUGCUCAAAGUAAAGACCAAAGCUGCCCCAAACUGCAGCCAUUCUCAGGGACAAGGUCCCAAGCUCCUCCAAUGAUAACAGCCAAGUUCAUAUCAGGGAAGCCAGCAUGACAAGCUCCUCCAGGAGAACCAACAGUUCCAAACAACACCAUUAAGAGAACCCACAAGGCUAUACUUCCUUUCCAGGUCUUUUUAUGCUGGCAACUUUCCUCAUGUGGGCCAUCUACAUCCAGCACCACACUGAUAUUUGGGGGGGCGGGCUUUGGGCUGUUUCCAAGAACCACACUGAUUUUGUUCAGCUGGUGUUUAAUGGCAGGUUUUGGGGGGCUGUGGGUAGAAAGAUGGGGCUCGAUAUAUUGUUCAGGAGGCUGGUCUAAACUGGAUUUGAAUGAUCCUGACAGGGAGGCUAACAUGUUAGCCUCCCUGGUAGCCAGGACUGCCCAUUCACUAGGCCAAAGAGGACUCUUCCAAUUCAGUGACCUGGACUUUUGGGACCCAACUGGCUGCCCCAUCAGAAUAAAAUCCCAACCUUUGAUGAGAAACAUAUGUGCAAUAGGAAGGGAGUAAGUCACAUAUUUGCUGAACAAAUGUUUACAAAAUGCAUUCUAUGUGGGAGACAUGUAACAUGCUCAGAAGAAUUUGGGCAAGGUGACCCAUGCCUGUAAUGUCAGCACUCUGAGAGGCUGAGACAGAAGGAUCUCAAGUUUGAGCCCAGUCUAUACAAUUUUACAACUUAGUUAGACCCUAUCUUAAAAUAAAAAAGGACUGAGGACAUAGUUUAGUACAAGACCCUGGUACAUGCUCGUAAGCCCAGGAGUCUGAGGCAGGAGGCUCUUACUUUGAAUUAGAGGCCAGCCUGGGCUACACAGUGAGACCCUGUCUCAAAAAAACCAAAAAUAAAUAAAAAUUUAAAAAUAAAGCAUUGGAGCUGGGGAUUUAGCUCAGCGGCAUAAGCUCCUGCCUUGCUAGCAUGCAGUUGUGAGUUCAAUCCCUGGUACCGAUAAAAAAAUAAAUAAAUAAAAAAUAAAGCAUCAAGGGCCUGGGGAUUUACCUCAGUGGCAUAAGUGCCUGCCUGACAAGUGGGAGUCACGAGUUCGAUCCCAGUUACCAAUAAAUAAAUAAAUAAAUAAAUAAAUAGAUAAAUAACACUCCAUUGCCAGAAAGGUCACAGUCUGCUCACAUUGCUCCUUUCCUAGGGAUGUGUCUCGGAAAAAAUUCACGUGGUCGUUGUGUUCCCUGGAAGACUGGACACAGGUGCUUGAACAGCCUGGCCAUCACCACAGUGCAGGACAAUGGCAGCUCUGUCAAGGCCAAGACUAGUGGCUCUGUCUUAGGUAGUAGGAGCACCCUGCUUCUGGAUCACACAUCUUGACAAUGUAUGGAUCUCCCCUGAACCUGCCAGGGCUGUUGAUGCCUCCAGCACAGCCUGGAACUCUGGCACUAACAGCAAUAACAUCUCCACUCAACUCUGCCAGCGCUUGGACAGAGUUAGGCCAGAAGGCUGGGGGCAACACACUGCCCCUUCCCCAUCCCUUCCUCUAGGCAUCCUGGAUUCCAAAACCAGCUGGGGGCACCCACUCAGGAAGUCCUCUCGGCAGAACAAUGGGCCAGCAUCUGACCGGGCUCCUAGAACUUUGGCCCCAUCAUCAACAGUUUCAUGAAGAAUGGGCAACUACAUACCAAUGUGAUUGGACAAAGGGUGUGAUCUGAUGCUCACACACUGAUCGGGACCCAGCAAGGCCUGUCCAGAUUUCUCUUGACCUCUUUGUGUGGCCUUUCUCUCAGAUGUGAAGGAUCCCUUGGUAAAAGAAGCAGAAGGAAGUUUUAGCUUCUAUAACCUGCCUUGGAGAAAUGGUGUCCUGUUUUGUUGUUAUUGUUUUUUUUUUUUUUUUUUUUUUUUUUGUCUUUUUUGAGACAGGGUCUCACUGUACAGUUAAGGCUGGCCUUGAGCUCACUUUGUAGCCUAGGCUGAGUCUGGAAUUCGUCUGCCUCAGCCUCCUGAGUGCUGGGAUUACAGGUAUGAGCCACCGAGGCCGGCUCUGUUGUUGUUUUGGUGUUAAAAAUGGAACUCAGGACCUCGGGCUUACCAGGCAAGUGCUUGUGCCGCUGGGCUAUAUGCCUCACCCUGAAGUCCUGCAUUUUUUAUAACCUACUUUGGGGGAGAAAGAGUGGGAGACAGGAAAAGACUCAGAGGCCUCACUUGGGAGCCCCUUCAGGCCCCUUUAGUUUGAGCUAUGGAUCAGGCCGAUACACCACACUCCAAGGUAUAUGGUCAGAACCCCAACACAGGGCCACUGGUCUCCCAAUGGCCUUCUCCUCUUACCCACCAGUCACCCUUCCUCAGCUCAGGGCUUGGGGCCCCAGCCUGCCACCAUGCCUCCUCAAUGUGAGCAGCAGCUCUGGUGGCCCUGCCACUUUCAGUGACCUGCCCUCCAGGACUGGCUGAGCUGUGGCGGAUGACCCUGGGCUAAGGGUGGAACCAUGCUUCUCUACAGGAGGAUGUGAGGACCGAGGAGGCCACUGGUAACCAUGAGAAGCUGGAAGCCAGGAGAUUGGGGCCAGAUAGCUGAGGGCUGAGCCAUUCGGACCACAGGGCCGCCUCCCCCCCAACCCUUCACGUAGCCAGGUAGCUCAGAGUCCUCCUCCCAGAUACAGGCCACCUGUGGAGGGUGAGCUCAUCCGUGGCCCCAGCAUCCCCGGGCCCAGAACCCUCACCUCCCCCCAGUGUGGGGGCAGUGACCAGGUGACCCAGGUGCACCUGCUGCCUCCUGGAGUAAACACCAAGGGAAGGCUCAGGGCGAGGGCGGGAGGAGGUGAAACUGGUGCUGGGAGGGAGCAGUGAGUCAUACCUUUGUGCUGUGGCACCAGGGACUGGGGAGUGGGGAAGACUGGGGACAGAUCAGUGGGGGCUGACUCAGGCCCCACACACCCUCCUCCAGAGCUCCCAAAAUGGUCAUGUGGAAACCAUUCCUCCAAGCUCCUUGUGUCAGUGCCCAGAGAGAACAAAUGAUUUAUCUAGGGAGAUACACUGCAAGUUAGUGGUCCCCAGUCUCCUGAACUAGUUGUGUGUUAAAUCCUGGUGUUGGGAUCAGUGGGGUCUCCCUGCUCAGUGGAUCUCUACCCCCUGGCAAAGGCUGGAGAGAGGUCUAUAGUUGCAAUUGUUGCUAGGGUGAAGUAGGUCUCAGAGCUUCCUGGGGUGGGGGCUGUGCUCCCUCUGCCUCGUUGAUGUCAGCUGGGUGUCACUGAUCCCUGGAAGCCCUGCCCAGUGGUGUGACAUCAUGGGACUGGGCCUGCUUUCCAGUGAAGGGCUCCACCCUGCCAGAGAGGUGGAGCAAGCUGUUCUGGGUCAGGUCCGUGCACAAUACAAUCCAGUAGGCAAACAGACUGCAACAUUGACCGAAACUCGAAACUUGGAGACCUCUGUUGCCCACUGCCCACUGCCCCCGAAACCCAGGAUCCCUGGAGCACCUGCCCCAGGCGACUGAGUCAGCUCUCCUCCUGGCUAAAUUAUGAAUAACACAAAGUCAGGUCUUUCCUGACCACACGUAGUAGUACUGUGGUUAAGAGGGUGGAAUUUAGAGAAUUCUGAGUAUCGGGUCAUCCCAGCGUCAUGCUAGCAAAUCUCAGCUUGUCACCACUCAGCUGUGAGACCUGGGCAGGUUCCUGACCUCACUGCAAAUCAGGGGUGAGAAUACUUACCUCAAAGGAUUUGGUGAAGAUUAAAGGCAAUGAAUUGGGUAUCUCAGGCCCAGUCACUGGCAGGUAGCCAUAUGGACUUGAAUUUGCUCUUUUCUUUUUUAUGUGGGGCUGAGGAUCAAACCCAGGGCUCUAACAGGCUGGGCAUUCACUCUGGGUGACACUCUUGGCUCCUUAGGCUCAAGUUUUAUGAAAUCAAACACAAAUAUUACAGAAGUGAAUUUUAAUAAUAAUGAUAAACCAGGUGUGACACGACAGUAUGUAUAUAUACGCAAUCCCAGUUACCUGAGAAGCUAAGGCAGGAAGAUCACACUUUGAGGCCAGACAAGGCAAUCUAGCAAAAUCCUAGGGGCUGGGGAUUUAGCUCAGCGGCAUAAGCGCCUGCCUUAUAAGCAGGCAGUCAUGAGUUCAAUCCCCGGUACCAAUAAAAAUGAAAAAGACAAAAAAGAAAAAAAAAAUCCUGUCUCCACAUUUUUAAAAAAAUUGUAUUUUUUACUUUAAAAAUGUUUUUUGCACAUGCCUGUAAUUGAAGCACUCGGGAGGCUGAGGCAGGAGGAUUACUGUAAGUUAGAGAGACCAGCCUUGGUUACAAAGCGAACUCAAGACCAGCCUGAACUGCAUAACAAGAACCUGUCUCAAAAAGACCAAAAAAAAAAUUUUUUUAAUUUUAUUUAAAGAAGUGAAAAAGCACUGGAGAUAUAGUUCAGUGGGAGAGCACCUCUAGGUUCAAUUCCUAGAACUGCAAAAUAAACUAAUAAUGAACAUAA